Molecule: ribosomal RNA, 556 nt
Filed under: uncultured bacterium
Lineage: Bacteria
Description: bacterial SSU rRNA
Rfam family: Bacterial small subunit ribosomal RNA
Source: RNAcentral
UGAACGCUGGCGGCGUGCUUAACACAUGCAAGUCGAGCGAGAAGACUUUGACAGAUCCUUCGGGUGAUGGAAAAGUUGGAAAGCGGCGGACGGGUGAGUAACGCGUGGGCAACCUGCCCCAUACAGGAGGAUAGCCACUGGAAACGGUGAUUAAUACUCCAUAAGACCACAGCACCACAUGGUGCAGAGGUAAAAACUCCGGUGGUAUGGGAUGGGCCCGCGUCUGAUUAGCUAGUUGGUAAGGUAACGGCUUACCAAGGCGACGAUCAGUAGCCGACCUGAGAGGGUGAUCGGCCACACUGGAACUGAGACACGGUCCAGACUCCUACGGGAGGCAGCAGUGGGGAAUAUUGCACAAUGGGCGAAAGCCUGAUGCAGCAACGCCGCGUGAACGAUGAAGGCCUUCGGGUUGUAAAGUUCUUUUCUUGGAGAAGAAUAAAUGACGGUAUCCAAGGAAAUAAGCCCCGGCUAACUACGUGCCAGCAGCCGCGGUAAUACGUAGGGGGCAAGCGUUAUCCGGAAUCACUGGGCGUAAAGGGAGUGUAGGCGGUCAAGC